This 194-nucleotide microRNA precursor is filed under the name Oryza punctata. RNAcentral describes it as "MIR812 microRNA precursor family". It matches the Rfam family "MIR812 microRNA precursor family". Lineage: Eukaryota; Viridiplantae; Streptophyta; Magnoliopsida; Poales; Poaceae. The record is from Rfam by way of RNAcentral.
AAAGAGUGCAAUUUUGUACUGUUCAUGUCCAACGUUUGACUGUUCGUCUUAUUUGAAAAUUUUGUAUGAUUAGUAUUUUUAUUAUUAUUAGAUAAUAAAACACGAAUCGUACUUUAUGUGUGACUAUUUUUUUUAAUUUUUUCAUAUUUUUUCAAAUAAGACGGUGUUGACGAAAAAUCCGCGCUCGGCCGAUG